GUAGGUGGCAAGCGUUGUCCGGAAUUAUUGGGCGUAAAGCGCGCGCAGGUGGUUCUUUAAGUCUGAUGUGAGAGCCCCCGGGCUCAACCGGGGAGGGUCAUUGGAAACUGGGGAACUUGAGUGCAGGAGAGGAAAGUGGAAUUCCACGUGUAGCGGUGAAAUGCGUAGAUAUGUGGAGGAACACCAGUGGCGAAGGCGACUUUCUGGCCUGUAACUGACACUGAGGCGCGAAAGCGUGGGGAGCAAACAGGAUUAGAUACCCUGGUAGUCCACGCCGUAAACGAUGAGUGCUAAGUGUUGGGGGGUUUCCGCCCCUCAGUGCUGCAGCUAACGCAUUAAGCACUCCGCCUGGGGAGUACGGUCGCAAGACUG
This 372-nucleotide ribosomal RNA is filed under the name uncultured organism. RNAcentral's name for it is "partial 16S ribosomal RNA". It matches the Rfam family "Bacterial small subunit ribosomal RNA", at positions 527 to 896 of the family's 1533-position model. The record is from RNAcentral.